This 1169-nucleotide long non-coding RNA is filed under the name Piliocolobus tephrosceles (Ugandan red Colobus). RNAcentral describes it as "lncRNA (ENSPTEG00000012133.1)". The record is from RNAcentral. Lineage: Eukaryota; Metazoa; Chordata; Mammalia; Primates; Cercopithecidae.
UAUAUACAUAUUUAUAUAUACAUAUGGAUGUCACCGUUUUAGGUUUUUUUUUUUUUUUUUUAUUGUGCUCUAAGCAUAAUGAAAAAAGAAAAGUAAAAAACUGAUGGAGUAAAAAAAAGAAAAAAAGGCUAAAGUGGAAUAAUAGUAUUGAGUAAAGUUGUGGCAUAAAGUAGAAAUAUAUAUAUAUAUAUAUAUAUAUAUAUAUAUAUAUAUAUAUAUAUAUAUGUAUGUAACUAGCGGAUAUAUAAGACUUUAAAUAAAAUUUUGAAUUUAUGACGAGUUAUAAAAACAAGUAAAAUUUAACACGUUUAAUAUGUGCACGUAUGUAUGUACAAUUGUGUAUACAUAUGUAUUAAACGAACUGGUAUACGAUAAGAUAAAAAUAAAAGGUAUCGACAAAAUAAGUUUAGGUAAAAAAAAAAAAAAAAAAAAAAAAAAAUCAAUAAAAAAAAAUAAAAAAUAAUAUAAUAAUAUUUAUGGGGAGUUCGUGCACGUAUGUAUAUGUAUACACCUGUGUAAGCACAAAAAUAUAUCACCUUUUAUAGAAAAGGAAAAGCAUUAAAAAAAAAAAGUGUAUACAUGUACAAUUGCAUGUAAAUUCAUACAUAAAUUUAUGCAAGAGUUAAUACAUAUAUAUGUAUAUGUACUGCAGGUACAUACAUUUUAUUUUCUUUCUGUUUUCGCUGUUUUCUCUCAUUUUUCUCAUUUUUCUCUUUUUUUUUUUUUUUUUUUUUUUGCACUAAAAAAUAAUAUUGUCUUUCGUUUUAUUAGUAACAUUAUACAUCACAUCUAGUACUUUCGCAUAUUUAUAAUUCCAAUCCGACAAUCUGUUUAUACAUAUAUAUAUAUAUAUAUAUAUAUAUAUAUAUAUAUUUAUAUUUAUAUAUAUGUGUGUGCAUAUAUGUAUCGAGUAUUUAAAAAAAAAAAAAAAAAACUAUUUUAUUCUAUGCGUUACAAUAUUCGUCAAGAGUGUGUCUUAUUUAACCUAAACUGUACUUUACCUCUUUUUUCUUUUUAUCCAUGUUUUAUCAUCUUUUAUUUAUUUAUUUAUUUAUUUAUUUAUUUGUUUAUUAAUUUAUUUAUUUACUUAUUUUUUAUUUAUUAUUUUUUUUUUUUUGUUUUUUAUUUUUUUUUUUUUUUUUUUUUUUUUUUUUUUUUUUUUUUUUUUU